GAAAAAUGUGAUGCACAUGUUAU
Molecule: non-coding RNA, 23 nt
Filed under: Arabidopsis thaliana (thale cress)
Lineage: Eukaryota; Viridiplantae; Streptophyta; Magnoliopsida; Brassicales; Brassicaceae
Source: RNAcentral